RNAcentral lists this non-coding RNA (187 nucleotides) under Granulosicoccaceae sp. 1_MG-2023. RNAcentral describes it as "6S RNA". It matches the Rfam family "6S / SsrS RNA". Rfam says of the family: E. coli 6S RNA was the first non coding RNA to be sequenced, but its function was unknown until recently. Lineage: Bacteria; Pseudomonadati; Pseudomonadota; Gammaproteobacteria; Chromatiales; Granulosicoccaceae. The record is from RNAcentral.
AUUUUUCUGCUCCGUACGUUUGCAGGUCGGGUAUAUCCCUUGAGCCUAAUUUCGUACCCCGGGGAAACGUUUGUUGUUUGAUGUGUGCAUGUCCGCUACGUGCGGAAAGCCUGAUUCGGCAACAAUAUCCCCACCUGAACCGACUGGUUCAAGGUAGCACGCCUGCGACGGCGGUAGUGGUGAAUAC